This 348-nucleotide unclassified non-coding RNA is filed under the name soil metagenome. Its description in RNAcentral is "partial contains 5.8S ribosomal RNA, internal transcribed spacer 2, and large subunit ribosomal RNA". The stretch from base 1 to 120 matches the Rfam family "5.8S ribosomal RNA", at positions 35 to 154 of the family's 154-position model. The record is from RNAcentral.
GAUGAAUAACGUAGCGAAAUGCGAUAAGUAAUGUGAAUUGCAGAAUUCAGUGAAUCAUCGAAUCUUUGAACGCACAUUGCGCCCGCCAGUAUUCUGGCGGGCAUGCCUGUCUGAGCGUCAUUUCAACCCUCAUGCCCCUAGGGCGUGGUGUUGGGGAUCGGCCAAAGCCCGCGAGGGACGGCCGGCCCCUAAAUCUAGUGGCGGACCCGUCGUGGCCUCCUCUGCGAAGUAGUGAUAUUCCGCAUCGGAGAGCGAUGAGCCCCUGCCGUUAAACCCCCAACUUUCCAAGGUUGACCUCAGAUCAGGUAGGAAUACCCGCUGAACUUAAGCAUAUCAAUAAGCGGAGGA